RNA transcript from Lycium barbarum (goji berry), 929 nucleotides. RefSeq lists it as uncharacterized. Lineage: Eukaryota; Viridiplantae; Streptophyta; Magnoliopsida; Solanales; Solanaceae. The transcript is spliced from 4 exons. The record is from RefSeq and is a predicted model, not a curated record.
GGUUCAUUUAGGAAUAAGUAGUAUAGGUUGUACAGAAGGGAGGGACGAACUAUACAGCAUGCAUAGCUGCCACGUGUUCCACUCUAGUAUUAUAUUUUUAUUAUAUUAGAAAUGGGAGUUGGGGUGUACGAACAGGGGUAUUUUGGUUCAUUUAGGGAUAAGUAGUAUAGGUUGUACGGAAGGGAGGGACGAAGUAUACAGCAUGCAUAGCUGCCACAUGUUCCUCUUGCUGGACACGUAUACUAACUCUUUAACCGUCUCCAUUCACUUCUUUCAUGCCCACUACCUUGCUUUCUCCAUUCCCUCUUCUUUUUUUCUAACUGAUCCUCCCUCAAGAUUGAAAUAUAAGUCGCAAAGAAGAAAGAAUUUGCAGCUAAGGAUUUGAUUUGAGUAAUGUGAGCACAAUAUUAAAGAAGACGAUGUUCAGAUGGUUAACAACUAAGGAACCUGAAGAAGAAGCACAUGGGCCCCCGGAUUUAUCAAUAUUUCCAAUUUUACAAGACAAGUACAACAUUUAUCAAUCAUGCAAAGUGAAACAGGUCUUAGCUUCAGUGAAAUAGGAAGGACAAUUGCACAAUUGUAUGCUCAGCGGAAGGAAAGUCAUCGCAAGUUGAUUUCACCAACGUGAAGCCGCAAGCUCUAGCCUCCAGUUAACUAGAGCUAUAGAUUAUUUGUUUAGCUGGUUUUUCAUUUUGGACUUAAUUCAAGAACUAGCUCAGUAAAUUGAAAGUGUAUAUUUUCUUUCUCCCACUACUAGAGUAGUCUUUACAAUUCUUUUAAGUGAACACUUCAUUUGGUUAAUUGCAAGGAAAGACAAAUGAAUAGAACCUUGUAUUCUCUAUGACUUCUGUACUUACCAAAAUCCUUUACAUUUUGUACUUUGAGUUUGCUGGUUAUUUUGUAAUUAAAAUUGACAUAGUUAAGUUUUA